GGUCCAUCGGCUGGCCAGAACUAGAUUUUUCCAUCACAGGUCCUGAAGGAAACAGUGAUUAUACAGAUCUACAAGGAGACUUGCUUACAGAUGGACAGCCUAAUACAGCUGCAGGAAAAUUAGGAGGAUGAUUUCAAUGAGCACAAGGUUUUAAUGACUGCCCUCUGCCCUCCCUGCCUCGGCCGCCGCACAACCAACUUGCGCCGCCUCACUCCAAGGCCAUGUGAGCCUUGUGCCUGCACAUGCCCGCCAGGUCUCAUGGCCACGUGGAACAGGGUGGGCCUGUGGAUGUCAGCACAGAAGGCAAGGUCGACGGCUUCACCCAAGAAGCAGUUCAGGCAGCCAUCAUCCCCAUGUUGGACCAGGUCAACACCUGCCUGGACCACCUGGAGGAGAGGAAUGACCACCUCCCUGGCCGCCUCCAGGAGCGCUUGAAUCUAGCUGGCAGACACAUCUUGAGUUCCAGCAGCCAUGCUCAGAGGCCCCAAGCGAUUGGCAGCCCCUAGUGGAGCCCUAGGGGCCCUGGGGCCAGGCCUCAACCCUGCCUGCCUGAGCCCUCACCACCUGGCUUAGGGUGGCCUGCAGAUGUCUUGGGGGAUCUGCCUGCCUGGGCCAUCCUUCUGGUACUUCCCUUUGUGGGCCUGGCAUAUCCCCACCUCCUGGCAGGUGUGGGCCUGUGACCCACCUAACUUGCCUGCCUGCUCAACUCCUGGAUGCUCUCACUCUGCCCAGGCCUUGAGUGUUCACACUGAAGUAGUCUCCAACAGUGUGUGCACACUCACCACACAUACACACAUAAAAGGUCUGUAAUAGUCUCAAGUUUUUAUAAUAUGGGCAAACCUCAUACAAAAGAAGGGGUUAGGCUUGAUUUGGUGGAUUCUAAAUGGAGGCCAAAUGUCCCUUUUGAGAGGGUCCUUGGCUUUAUCAGGGGAGUUCGGAUGCCUUCUGGCUUGACCUCAACCGCAAUUACAAAAAAUGCACAUACUAAGCAGUGUGCAGUUGUUACCUGAUGCUAAGUGUUCCUGGGAACUGGUAGAAUAAUCCUAGAUGAGAGGGUCAGGGUCUCCCUGAGCCUUCUGAGUUUCAGCCUCUGAGAAGAACCCUUUUUUCCUAACCUCCAUAAGCACUCCCUCCACUCUGU
This is a long non-coding RNA of Bos taurus (domestic cattle), 1141 nucleotides long. The record is from Ensembl. NCBI's taxonomy places the organism in Eukaryota, Metazoa, Chordata, Mammalia, Artiodactyla, Bovidae.